Cyprinus carpio carpio is the source of this 1558-nucleotide long non-coding RNA. NCBI's taxonomy places the organism in Eukaryota, Metazoa, Chordata, Actinopteri, Cypriniformes, Cyprinidae. The record is from Ensembl.
GCGGACCACAGGUGUUGCGAGUCACGCCCCUUCCCGACUUCCACCUCGAGGAGGUCCCAAGAUCACCCCAAGGACCAGACACACAAGAUAAGUUAAGGGUAAUUUAAAACAACUUUAUUUAAAUUAUUUAAAAAGGUAAUCUAGGAAAGGAAAAAAGGGGAAUCUAAAAUUUUGAUUUUCGUCUCUUGACAGGAGGGGACUGGGCCUGAGAACUCUGGAGGUCUUUGGUAAGUAAUCACAAGGGGAGGGGGGCAAGGGCUCUUCCGUCCUUUCCCAGAACUUCCACCAGUCUCCUGACUAAUCCUAAGUCCUUCCUUAACGGCUUGAUUUCCCGUGGCGCCCUUCUCUUCUCCUGAAGGCAACAAGAACACACAAUGAGUAAUGGGUAAAACGGAGAAUGCCUUGCUCCUAGCUUCUUUGCUCUUUGGGUUGUACUUCACCAGCGUCUGGACAGCUCCUCCACUCCCAUAGACCUCCUAGGUAGAUAUAAGGUAACACACAAAUCCCUGAGGGCACAGGUAAGUAACAAAGGUAAGGAUGUAGCAAGGUAACUAGGCCAUGCCCCUGGAUGUCCACCGGUAUAUCAGAAGCGAGUAACUUUUUACUCGUAACACAGAUAGGUAUUGAGCAAGGUGACUGACUCUUCACACUAGGCUUACUGAGCGGGUUCCAGAGCAAUGGCUUUUAACUCGUGCAGGCGGAUAAGUAUUCAACAAGUAGCUGUAUCUUCACACUGGGCUUUACAGGGCGUAUUCAAGGGCAAUAGCUUUUAGCUCGUACAGACAGGUAAGUAUUCAACAAGUAACUGUAUCUUCACGCUGGGCUUUACAGGGCGUAUUCAAGGGCAAUAGCUUUUAGCUCGUACAGACAGGUAAGUAUUCAACAAGUAACUGUAUCUUCACGCUGGACUUUACAGGGCGUAUUCAAGGGCAAUAGCUUUUAGCUCGUACAGACAGGUAAGUAUUCAACAAGUGACUGUAUCUUCACGCUGGGCUUUACAGGGCGUAUUCAAGGGCAAUAGCUUUCCCCACAAUAUCCGCACAAUACCUUGUUUUGCUUUCGCGCUUCACCUUCAAGCUGGGUCCGGAGAACGGAGUUAUAGGCGGGCAUAGGUGGGAUAGGUGGGCACCGCCACGGCAGCCUACGUUCUCUCCAACAGGAACUUUUCUCGGCCUGGAGGGCGAGUACAGACAACAGGGACACGGCACAGCACUGCAAAGCUUUGGUGUACACACGUCAAAGACAGACUCACCCACUGCACUACACACACUUCAGUGAUUUUUAAGGUCGGUACUCCACGCCCGGUCGGAUUUCGUCCUGGAGGAGUUUGCAGUCGCUGUCACGGUAAGUGCUCCAAACUUUACGGUGUGGCCACAGCCAAAUAACAUCCAUUCACCCACGCUCUACUUCGGCUCACCCACUCGUCUCGUCCUCCAACGAUGGGGCCGCUCAACAAGCUGUUAAUCACUCCAACAGGUAUUAGUUAUCCAUAUCCAAGUAUGAGCAAUGAUAUGUAAGCAAUCCAAUGUACUCACAGUCUUCGCGAUACUGAUCCUCU